CCUACGGGGGGCAGCAGUGGGGAAUAUUGCACAAUGGGGGAAACCCUGAUGCAGCGACGCCGCGUGAGCGAAGAAGUAUCUCGGUAUGUAAAGCUCUAUCAGCAGGGAAGAAAAUGACGGUACCUGACUAAGAAGCCCCGGCUAACUACGUGCCAGCAGCCGCGGUAAUACGUAGGGGGCAAGCGUUAUCCGGAUUUACUGGGUGUAAAGGGAGCGCAGGCGGCGCGGUAAGUCUGAUGUGAAAGUCCGGGGCUCAACCCCGGGACUGCAUUGGAAACUGUCCGGCUAGAGUGCAGGAGAGGUAA
Molecule: ribosomal RNA, 305 nt
Filed under: uncultured bacterium
Lineage: Bacteria
Description: bacterial SSU rRNA
Rfam family: Bacterial small subunit ribosomal RNA
Source: RNAcentral